GCUUCAACAAUGGGGUGCUACAAAUUAACGGUGGCUGAGAUGAUACCCAGGAUAUAUUCCACACCUGAUCCGGAUAAUGCCGGCGUAGGGAUUGCUUACUGAUCAUCU
This 108-nucleotide non-coding RNA is filed under the name Chryseobacterium gleum. Its description in RNAcentral is "TPP sequence". It matches the Rfam family "TPP riboswitch aptamer (THI element)". Rfam says of the family: Vitamin B(1) in its active form thiamin pyrophosphate (TPP) is an essential coenzyme that is synthesised by coupling of pyrimidine and thiazole moieties in bacteria. The previously detected thiamin-regulatory element, thi box was extended, resulting in a new, highly conserved RNA secondary structure, the THI element, which is widely distributed in eubacteria and also occurs in some archaea. The record is from RNAcentral. Lineage: Bacteria; Pseudomonadati; Bacteroidota; Flavobacteriia; Flavobacteriales; Weeksellaceae.